This 440-nucleotide ribosomal RNA is filed under the name uncultured Bacteroidota bacterium. RNAcentral's name for it is "SSU rRNA". It matches the Rfam family "Bacterial small subunit ribosomal RNA", at positions 242 to 679 of the family's 1533-position model. The record is from RNAcentral. Lineage: Bacteria; Pseudomonadati; Bacteroidota.
CAGCUAGUUGGUGAGGUAACUGCUCACCAAGGCUACGAUAGGUAGGGGAUCUGAGAGGACUACCCCCCACACUGGUACUGAGACACGGACCAGACUCCUACGGGAGGCAGCAGUAAGGAAUAUUGGUCAAUGGAGGCAACUCUGAACCAGCCAUGCCGCGUGCAGGAAGAAGGCCCUAUGGGUCGUAAACUGCUUUUAUACGGGAGAAAACCACGGUACGUGUACCGUGUUGAUAGUACUGUAGGAAUAAGGAUCGGCUAACUUCGUGCCAGCAGCCGCGGUAAGACGAAGGAUCCAAGCGUUAUCCGGAUUCAUUGGGUUUAAAGGGUGCGUAGGCGGGUUUAUAAGUCAGUGGUGAAAUCUCUUUGCUUAACAAAGAAACUGCCAUUGAUACUGUAGACCUAAAGUAUAGAUGAUGUUGGCGGAAUAUGACAUGUAGC